AAUUUGGAUAUUAGCAAGCUGAAUGGAGAUCAAAUUCAGACAUUGAUUCAACAACUCUCAAGUCAUAUUCAAGUUUCAGAGCCUUUGGCACCUUCCCCAUCCACAUCAAAAGUCACAGAGCAUGGUAUAAUGGUUGUUCAAUCAUCAUCGGGAGUUUAUUCAGGGCUUGACGAUUGGUAGAGGCAUACUUCUGCAUAAUCUCUACAUAUUACAACUUGAUGCACCUUCUACUCAUGAUGAAUUCUCUGGAUCCUUGAUGGCUGAUGGAAUUCUUUGGCAUCAACGCCUUGGACACCCAUCUGCUGACAAGUUACAAUGCAUUUCUGGUACUCUUUCUUUGUCUAAGUCUGCUUUUAAACAUCCAUCUCAUUGUUCCAUCUGUCACUUAGCAAAACAAAAAAGAUUGUCUUAUGAGUCUCAUAAUCAUUUGUCUUCACUUCCAUUUGAUCUAAUUCAUUUAGAUGUGUGGGGUCCUUUCUCUAUAGAGUCUGUAGAAGGAUAUAAAUACUUUCUUACAAUAGUUGAUGAUUGUACACGUGUAACAUGGGUUUAUAUGAUGAAGAAUAAAAGUGAAGUUACACAACA
Molecule: long non-coding RNA, 585 nt
Organism: Arabidopsis lyrata subsp. lyrata
Lineage: Eukaryota; Viridiplantae; Streptophyta; Magnoliopsida; Brassicales; Brassicaceae
Exons: 2
Source: RefSeq, a predicted model, not a curated record